This 305-nucleotide ribosomal RNA is filed under the name uncultured bacterium. Its description in RNAcentral is "bacterial SSU rRNA". It matches the Rfam family "Bacterial small subunit ribosomal RNA", at positions 335 to 656 of the family's 1533-position model. The record is from RNAcentral.
AACCCUACGGGACGCAGCAGUGGGGGAUAUUGCACAAUGGGGGAAACCCUGAUGCAGCGACGCCGCGUGUGGGAAGACGGUCCUCUGGAUUGUAAACCACUGUCCCCAGGGACGAAGAUGACGGUACCUGCAAAGGAAGCACCGGCUAACUCCGUGCCAGCAGCCGCGGUAAUACGGAGGGUGCGAGCGUUAAUCGGAAUUACUGGGCGUAAAGCGCUCGUAGGCGGUAUGUCAAGUCAAGGGUGAAAUCCCCGCGCUCAACGUGGGAACUGCCUUUGAAACUGGCAAACUGGAGUGUGUGAGAG